Molecule: ribosomal RNA, 515 nt
Filed under: uncultured prokaryote
Description: bacterial SSU rRNA
Rfam family: Bacterial small subunit ribosomal RNA
Source: RNAcentral
GGGUGCGUAACGCGUAUGCAACCUACCUUAUACAGGGGGAUAGCCCGAAGAAAUUCGGAUUAAUACCCCAUAGCACUAUAGAUUCGCAUGAUGAAGUAGUUAAAGAUUUAUCGGUAUAAGAUGGGCAUGCGUUAGAUUAGCUAGUUGGUAAGGUAAAGGCUUACCAAGGCGACGAUCUAUAGGGGUUCUGAGAGGAAGAUCCCCCACACUGGCACUGAGAUACGGGCCAGACUCCUACGGGAGGCAGCAGUAGGGAAUAUUGGUCAAUGGAGGCAACUCUGAACCAGCCAUGCCGCGUGUAGGAAGAAUGCCUUCUGGGUUGUAAACUACUUUUAUAUAGGAAGAAAAAGCCAUGCGUGGUCAUAUGACGGUACCUAAUGAAUAAGCACCGGCUAACUCCGUGCCAGCAGCCGCGGUAAUACGGAGGGUGCAAGCGUUGUCCGGAUUUAUUGGGUUUAAAGGGUGCGUAGGCGGCCCUAUAAGUCAGUGGUGAAAUUCGAUAGCUCAACUAUCGG